Molecule: ribosomal RNA, 584 nt
Filed under: uncultured Pseudomonas sp.
Lineage: Bacteria; Pseudomonadati; Pseudomonadota; Gammaproteobacteria; Pseudomonadales; Pseudomonadaceae
Description: bacterial SSU rRNA
Rfam family: Bacterial small subunit ribosomal RNA
Source: RNAcentral
ACGGGUGAGUAAUGCCUAGGAAUCUGCCUGGUAGUGGGGGACAACGUUUCGAAAGGAACGCUAAUACCGCAUACGUCCUACGGGAGAAAGCAGGGGACCUUCGGGCCUUGCGCUAUCAGAUGAGCCUAGGUCGGAUUAGCUAGUUGGUGAGGUAAUGGCUCACCAAGGCGACGAUCCGUAACUGGUCUGAGAGGAUGAUCAGUCACACUGGAACUGAGACACGGUCCAGACUCCUACGGGAGGCAGCAGUGGGGAAUAUUGGACAAUGGGCGAAAGCCUGAUCCAGCCAUGCCGCGUGUGUGAAGAAGGUCUUCGGAUUGUAAAGCACUUUAAGUUGGGAGGAAGGGUCGUAGAUUAAUACUCUGCAAUUUUGACGUUACCGACAGAAUAAGCACCGGCUAACUCUGUGCCAGCAGCCGCGGUAAUACAGAGGGUGCAAGCGUUAAUCGGAAUUACUGGGCGUAAAGCGCGCGUAGGUGGUUCGUUAAGUUGGAUGUGAAAUCCCCGGGCUCAACCUGGGAACUGCAUUCAAAACUGUCGAGCUAGAGUAUGGUAGAGGGUGGUGGAAUUUCCUGUGUAGCGGU